Molecule: long non-coding RNA, 216 nt
Filed under: Mytilus galloprovincialis (Mediterranean mussel)
Lineage: Eukaryota; Metazoa; Mollusca; Bivalvia; Mytilida; Mytilidae
Source: RNAcentral
UAGUGAUGAUACGAGAAAUUUCUAUUCUUGCAAGAAAUAGAUAAUAAGACACAACCAUGCAUAAGAGAAAUGAACUUUGAAAACGGGACAUGUGUAGCAUGUGACCAUUGCUGUUUAUUAAAAAAACGGAGUAAGAAACCUCAGUACUGGACAGCAAAGAAGAAUCAGAAAAAUGCUAUGUAAGAAAACACUUCUACUAAUGGAGGCAUGAUCCCC